This 488-nucleotide ribosomal RNA is filed under the name uncultured bacterium. Its description in RNAcentral is "partial 16S ribosomal RNA". It matches the Rfam family "Bacterial small subunit ribosomal RNA", at positions 28 to 507 of the family's 1533-position model. The record is from RNAcentral.
GAUGAACGCUAGCGGCAGGCCUAAUACAUGCAAGUCGGACGGGAUCCAUUGAUAGCUUGCUAUCAAUGGUGAGAGUGGCGCACGGGUGCGUAACGCGUGAGCAACCUGCCUCCAUCAGGGGGAUAGCCUCUCGAAAGAGAGAUUAACACCGCAUAAUAUCAACAGUUCGCAUGUUCAGUUGAUUAACUAUUUAUAGGAUGGAGAUGGGCUCGCGUGACAUUAGCUAGUUGGUAGGGUAACGGCUUACCAAGGCGACGAUGUCUAGGGGCUCUGAGAGGAGAAUCCCCCACACUGGUACUGAGACACGGACCAGACUCCUACGGGAGGCAGCAGUAAGGAAUAUUGGUCAAUGGGCGGAAGCCUGAACCAGCCAUGCCGCGUGCAGGAUGACUGCCCUAUGGGUUGUAAACUGCUUUUGUCCAGGAAUAAACCUAAAUACGAGUAUUUAGCUGAAUGUACUGGAAGAAUAAGGAUCGGCUAACUCCGUG